UAGUGAUUAUGAAUGGUUGCCUUCUGUGCUGGCCGCGGCAAGUGCACGUUGGUGACUUUCAUCCAACACCCUUGUGAACCUUUGGCCUCUUGCUAGCUUCGGCUGGCUGAGGAUUUACACAAACUCGCAUGUAUUGAGGACCCAUUUUGUGCGCAAGCACUAAUUAUAUACAACUUUCAACAACGGAUCUCUUGGCUCUCGCAUCGAUGAAGAACGCAGCGAAAUGCGAUAAGUAAUGUGAAUUGCAGAAUUCAGUGAAUCAUCGAAUCUUUGAACGCACCUUGCACCCUUUGGUAUUCCGAAGGGUAUGCUCGUUUGAGUGUCAUUGUACUCUCACACUCCUAAUUGCUUUGGAUUGGGAGCGGUGGACUUGGGUGCUGCUGCUUGACCGUGGCUCACCUGAAAUAUGUUAGUGCACCUCCUGGUUGGACAUAGUACGGCGUGAUAAGUGUCUUCGCCGGCUCCUCGCAACGAGGGUGGCCGAUCGGGAGCUCUGUGCUUCAAACUGUCUUUGGACAAUCUUCUGGCGACUUG
Molecule: unclassified non-coding RNA, 534 nt
Filed under: Sebacinaceae sp. 7 CG-2012
Lineage: Eukaryota; Fungi; Basidiomycota; Agaricomycetes; Sebacinales; Sebacinaceae
Description: sequence contains ITS1, 5.8S rRNA gene, ITS2
Rfam family: 5.8S ribosomal RNA (bases 172-325)
Source: RNAcentral